AGCGAACGCUGGCGGCAGGCCUAACACAUGCAAGUCGAGCGCUCGUAGCAAUACGAGAGCGGCAGACGGGAGAGUAACACGUGGGAACGUACCCUUUGGUUCGGAACAACACAGGGAAACUUGUGCUAAUACCGAAUAAGCCCUUACGGGGAAAGAUUUAUCGCCAAAGGAUCGGCCCGCGUCUGAUUAGCUAGUUGGUGUGGUAACGGCUUACCAAGGCAACGACGGGUAGCUGGUCUGAGAGGACGAUCAGCCGGAUUGGGACUGAGAUACGGCCCAGACUCCUACGGGGGCAGCAAUUAGGAAUCUUGCACAAUGAGCGAAAGCCUGAUGCAGCGACGUCGCGUGGAGGAUGAAGUC
RNAcentral lists this ribosomal RNA (360 nucleotides) under uncultured bacterium. RNAcentral describes it as "bacterial SSU rRNA". It matches the Rfam family "Bacterial small subunit ribosomal RNA", at positions 29 to 415 of the family's 1533-position model. The record is from RNAcentral.